Molecule: long non-coding RNA, 1085 nt
Filed under: Homo sapiens (human)
Lineage: Eukaryota; Metazoa; Chordata; Mammalia; Primates; Hominidae
Description: HSALNT0335122
Source: RNAcentral
ACUCCUGAAGGAUGCCAUUCAGCUCACUACUUUCUCCACUCUCUUAUCCCAGUGUCAAUGUCCAUAACUUUCACCAUAAGGACUUUGUAUUUUAAAAAAUACGUUUUAAAGAACCGAUUGUUACAGCAUAAACACACACGCACACGCACACACACACACACACACACACACCCUGUCUUCAGAAGCUUGGAAUACAUUACAGAUUCACUGCCCUAAAAACCACUCACAGCAGGGAUCGUUUUACCCCGGACACCAAAGAAAUCCUCCAGAUUUGAGCCACUCGGUGGCGAAACACGGACUGAAAGAAGAUGACUAGUGGAGCAACUAUUUCUGCGUGACUGCAGAGAGAAAACACAAAGAAAGGAAUUUAGAAUGACUCAGCCCGGGCGGCGCAGCGGGUGAGGGCCUCGCGAACAAUGGAAAGUCACACUGGGGCCUCAGAACCCGGGUCUACACCCUCAGCGUCAGAGGCUGCUGACCGCUGGGGGCAGCAGGGACACUAGGCAAAAAGUGACUUUCUUGUCCCUCAUUUCUUGCUUUUUAGCCUAAAAUGCAGAACUAGCUCUUAAGAUUGAAAUAUAAUUAUGAUAAUUUUGUAAAACUCACAGGAGCUCUGGGACAUAAAAGCAAAGGUCCGGGGCCUCAUUCCCAGAGGCCAGGGUCAUUUGGGCAGCAAAUAACAAAUGCCAGGAAUCCACACAUCAACUCGCCUGGGCUGGGGAUGGGGGUGGGGGUGGGUAGGACUCUGAGCACGUUUUUUUAACUCACCAGAAAACUUUCUAGAAAAAAAAAAAAAAAGCCCAAGGGCGCCACAUGGCUAGCCUUUGCUUCCAGGCCAAGGGUAAAAGUCUUUGCUGUACCUCCAAGAGGCCAGCUUGGACCUCACAGGAUAAUGAAUUUGCCCUUUCUGGCAGGAACAGGAACUCAGAAAAGAAAUUGGCCAGAGGCCUGGUGGUUAGGAGAUUGUUUCUGAAAAAAUGCAAUCAUCUAAUAGAGAAUCUGUUGAGCUUAGGGUUUCUUGUGUGGGACUCAGUUACUCUCGAGGAAUGUAGCAGCUGCAGCCAACAUUUAAAAAUCAAUAGAAU